This 414-nucleotide unclassified non-coding RNA is filed under the name Hevea brasiliensis (rubber tree). The record is from RNAcentral. Lineage: Eukaryota; Viridiplantae; Streptophyta; Magnoliopsida; Malpighiales; Euphorbiaceae.
CAUUGUUAAUUAGGCGUGCCCUCAAAUCAGAUGUUUUACCAGGAGGAUACAAGGGGGACAAAGAUGGUUAUGCAAUUCCUAGUGGGACUGAUAUUUUUAUUUCUCUAUAUAAUCUUCAUAGAUCCCCAUAUUUUUGGGACUCGCCUAAUGAAUUUGAACCAGAAAGGUUUUUAGUGCAAAGAAAGAAUGAAGAAAUUGAAGGAUGGGCUGGUUUUGAUCCAUCUAGGAGCCCAGGAGCAUUAUACCCAAAUGAGAUUAUAUCAGAUUUUGCCUUCCUACCCUUCGGCGGUGGACCAAGGAAAUGUGUUGGGGACCAAUUUGCCCUUAUGGAGUCAACCGUAGCACUGGCUAUGUUGUUGCAGAAGUUUGAUGUGGAGCUGAAGGCCUCUCCAGAAUUAGUGGAAUUGGUCACAG